Molecule: ribosomal RNA, 253 nt
Filed under: uncultured bacterium
Lineage: Bacteria
Description: partial 16S ribosomal RNA
Rfam family: Bacterial small subunit ribosomal RNA
Source: RNAcentral
UACGUAGGGGGCAAGCGUUGUCCGGAAUCAUUGGGCGUAAAGCGCGCGUAGGCGGCCCGGUAAGUCCGCUGUAAAAGUCCAGGGCUCAACCCUGGGAUGCCGGUGGAUACUGUCGGGCUUGAGUACGGAAGAGGCGAGUGGAAUUCCUGGUGUAGCGGUGAAAUGCGCAGAUAUCAGGAGGAACACCCAUUGCGAAGGCAGCUCGCUGGGACGUUACUGACGCUGAGACGCGAAAGCGUGGGGAGCGAACAGG